GGGGACGACUUGGCUUCGACGGGAGCGGAGCGGUCACGGCUGCAUGUCGCUUUGGACAAAGCGUAAAAAGUCCAAACUUAAAUUUAAACGCAAACAACGUUAAAUUUGCUCCUGCUUACGCAAAAGUAGCGUAAGUUCAGUCGAGCCUCGCGCUUUUGAUGCUAUCUAAAAAAGUCCGCGAGUAACCUAGAUAGCGUAGGCUUUUGCACUGACGACGCAAUGGCUGAAAUUUCGUCUUAGUCUAAAUUUCGGUUUUGGAAAGUGAGCCUUUUUAGAUGAAAUUUCCACUUUUACUAAACAUGUAGAUGCUUUGGUUGUUUUGUUUUCGGACAGGGGUUCGAUCCCCCUCGUCUCCACCA
Molecule: transfer-messenger RNA, 359 nt
Filed under: Campylobacteraceae
Lineage: Bacteria; Pseudomonadati; Campylobacterota; Epsilonproteobacteria; Campylobacterales
Also listed under: 1 other name
Description: Campylobacter_A sp905371695 Standard tmRNA
Rfam family: transfer-messenger RNA
About the family: Bacterial tmRNA, also known as 10Sa RNA or SsrA, is named for its dual tRNA and mRNA-like properties. Its role is to liberate the mRNA from a stalled ribosome. To accomplish this part of the tmRNA is used as a reading frame that ends in a translation stop signal.
Source: RNAcentral